AGCACUUCGGUGGCUGACGAGUGGCGAACGGGUGAGUAAUAUAUCGGAACGUGCCCAGUCGUGGGGGAUAACGUAGCGAAAGCUACGCUAAUACCGCAUACGAUCUAUGGAUGAAAGCGGGGGAUCGCAAGACCUCGCGCGAUUGGAGCGGCCGAUAUCAGAUUAGCUAGUUGGUGGGGUAAAGGCCCACCAAGGCGACGAUCUGUAGCUGGUCUGAGAGGACGACCAGCCACACUGGAACUGAGACACGGUCCAGACUCCUACGGGAGGCAGCAGUGGGGAAUUUUGGACAAUGGGCGCAAGCCUGAUCCAGCAAUGCCGCGUGCAGGACGAAGGCCUUCGGGUUGUAAACUGCUUUUGUACGGAACGAAAAGGUCUGCCCUAAUACGGCGGGCUCAUGACGGUACCGUAAGAAUAAGCACCGGCUAACUACGUGCCAGCAGCCGCGGUAAUACGUAGGGUGCAAGCGUUAAUCGGAAUUACUGGGCGUAAAGCGUGCGCAGGCGGUUUUGUAAGACAGAUGUGAAAUCCCCGGGCUCAACCUGGGACCUGCAUUUGUGACUGCAAAGCUAGAGUACGGCAGAGGGGGAUGGAAUUCCGCGUGUAGCAGUGAAAUGCGUGGAUAUGCGGAGGAACACCGAUGGCGAAGGCAAUCCCCUGGGCCUGUACUGACGCUCAUGCACGAAAGCGUGGGGAGCAAACAGGAUUAGAUACCCUGGUAGUCCACGCCCUAAACGAUGUCAACUAGGUGUUGGGUGGGUAAAACCAUUUAGUACCGGAGCUAACGCGUGAAGUUGACCGCCUGGGGAGUACGGCC
Molecule: ribosomal RNA, 817 nt
Filed under: uncultured bacterium
Lineage: Bacteria
Description: bacterial SSU rRNA
Rfam family: Bacterial small subunit ribosomal RNA
Source: RNAcentral